This is a long non-coding RNA of Lactuca sativa (garden lettuce), 690 nucleotides long. RefSeq lists it as uncharacterized. The record is from RefSeq and is a predicted model, not a curated record. NCBI's taxonomy places the organism in Eukaryota, Viridiplantae, Streptophyta, Magnoliopsida, Asterales, Asteraceae.
AUAAUACCAAUCCAAUCACAGAGAACUAUUGAAUUCGAUUUUAAACUCCAACUGCGAAUUCGAUCCCGUCAUCUUCAAGAGUUACGCAAUUCACUCGAGUCACCAAAACGUCAAUCUCAGUCUAUGAUUUGAGAGAGUGCGUGAGUAGAAGAAGAGGGUUUUCAAAUGCUUUAGUUCGUAACGCCAUUGUAGCAUGCAAGAAGCUUACAGUUGGAGUUGUUGAAGUUGAAAUCAGUUGAAAUCGGAAGUGUUUGAAAUGGCAGAGUCAUCUGGUUGGCAAUUGAGCUCUGCGCGGGUGUAGAAGACAUCUGUAUGUUAAAGAACACAUAAUACAUAGUGGAGGAUGAAGAUAGAGUUGAUGAUGUCUACAAAGAAGAGCAUGAACACAUGAAGAUGAAACUGAGCUCGAAGUGAGUGUAGAGUACAAGGUGCAUGAUCCAAACAUUAAGUGGAACAAAAUGAAGUAUGGUGUGUGAGAGUUGUACAUGUCACUUGCUCAAUGUAACACCUCAUUUCGUGAAUCUAUAGCCGUAAAUCGGGAUGUAGUAAUCCUUUAAAGAGUGUUCGUUGUAUUAUAAUAACGCUUGAACAUGUUGGUAAAAUAGUAUUAUCGAAAGUUGUAUUUGUUUUGGAAGAAUUUGCUAAUUGAGUAUCAAUAAUGAGCAAAUGACAAUAAUUUUGUAUGACGAA